UUCAACGGAGAGUUUGAUUCUGGCUCAGGACGAACGCUGGCGGCGUGCUUAACACAUGCAAGUCGAACGAUGAAGCCUAGCUUGCUAGGUGGAUUAGUGGCGAACGGGUGAGUAAUACGUGAGUAACCUACCUUUAACUCUGGGAUAAGCCUGGGAAACUGGGUCUAAUACCGGAUACGACCAAUCUCCGCAUGGAGUGUUG
This 202-nucleotide ribosomal RNA is filed under the name Rothia sp. HMSC062F03. RNAcentral's name for it is "partial 16S ribosomal RNA". It matches the Rfam family "Bacterial small subunit ribosomal RNA", at positions 1 to 200 of the family's 1533-position model. The record is from RNAcentral. Lineage: Bacteria; Bacillati; Actinomycetota; Actinomycetes; Micrococcales; Micrococcaceae.